GACGAACGCUGGUGGCGUGCUUAACACAUGCAAGUCGAACGGGAUUUCGUAAACAGAAGCCUCGGUGGAAGAUUACUAAUGAGAGUGGCGAACGGGGGAGUAACGCGUGAGCAACCUGCCUAUGACAGUGGGAUAGCCUCGGGAAACCGGGAUUAAUACCGCAUAAAAUCGUAGAAACACAUGUUUUAACGGUCAAAGAUUUAUCGGUCAUAGAUGGGCUCGCGUCUGAUUAGCUAGUUGGUGAGAUAACAGCCCACCAAGGCGACGAUCAGUAGCCGGUCUGUGAGGAUGAACGGCCACAUUGGAACUGAGACACGGUCCAAACUCCUACGGGAGGCAGCAGUGGGGAAUAUUGCACAAUGGGGGAAACCCUGAUGCAGCGACGCCGCGUGAACGAAGAAGGUAUUCGUAUCGUAAAGUUCUGUCCUAUGGGAAGAUAAUGACAGUACCAUAGAAGAAAGCUCCGGCUAAAUACGUG
This 478-nucleotide ribosomal RNA is filed under the name uncultured bacterium. RNAcentral describes it as "partial 16S ribosomal RNA". It matches the Rfam family "Bacterial small subunit ribosomal RNA", at positions 28 to 507 of the family's 1533-position model. The record is from RNAcentral.